UCCCACAGGUUAAAUACGUAUUGCUCACUAAUACACACUGGUUUGAGACUGUGCUUCGCCUGUGCUCUGCCCAAAGCUAUCUGCCACCCAUGGCUUUGGCCGUUUUCUUCUGAUCUUGCAGUGAGAUUUGAAGCCUGUAAGGCAGGCGUGUGCUUCUGGAGGGGAAGAAAAGGUCUCUGAAGGUAGAAGAAAGAAAACAGCUCUUUAUAACUUUGUGGUUCAGGUUUGUUUCUUUCUUUUUUCAAAGUUUCUCCUGGAAAGGUGGUGAAAAGGUCACAGCAGAAUUACAGGAGAAACUUGUCCAGAGCUCACAGGCACAGGCUGUUUUCAGAGCAAUUUUUCUGUACAAAACGUAAUCAAAGACAACAACAACAACAUUUUGCCUUUUACAGGAAAGGCCAUGUAAGAUUUCAGUGCAUCGGCUCAGCCUGGAGGACAAGAGGACACAGACCUCAGAGCAAGGAGGGCCCUUACCCAUCAGUGACUGCUCCAUGGAUGGUGGCACGGAGCGCAGUGGAGACAACAUCUACAACUGGAAGAGCUCACAGCGCCACUGUGUUAAAGAACAAAGAGAGCCAUGAGUGUUCCCAGGCAGCAGCCGGAGCGCAGGCUGCUCAGGUAAUUCUCCCCCAGCUGCCUCUCAGCGCUGCUCCCUGAGAUCCUCAUUGGCAAGGAGAGCACAAGGCACCCAGACCUCGGAAAUGUUUCAAGGCUUCACACCGGUUUUACGCUAUCUUGCAGCGAAGCGGCAGAUGGGAUUCUGGACUGAUCAAUAUCCUAAGUAGAGCCAAGUGCCGGAUCACUGAUCUGAGCUGAAAGAAUAAAUGGUGAAUCAAAGGAAUACACAAGUACCAUCAGUUCUGGGAGGCAGUUCUCUCCCUGCACCAGCCCAGCUGCUGUGCCUAAGGAGCAACCCCCGUCCUGCUCACAGUUCGGGGAUUAUAAAAGCCAAACAAAGGACAUGCAACAAGUUAUAAAUUCAGAGGAGUUCUUCCUGAGUGCCCAACAGCAGCUGAACUGUAGUUACGGUUAUUAUGCAGAGACAGACAUAAAACUAUAAUGCGGAUCAGCAUGUUUUAUCGCAGUCAUUUGACAACAUGCCAAGUCCAUGCAGCUUAGCUGUUACCUUUCUACAGCUCGCAGGGAUUUACCAUAGUUUCAGCUUAAUCUGGGAUUUUAUUAUGUAGUUAUUUCAAUCUCACUUUGAUAAUGGCACUCCAAACGGUGAUAAAACAAAGGAAGAUCGUAUUUAGAUACAGCAGUGAUGAAUAAUGUUAGAAACACCUAAAGCAGAAACGGAAUGCAUCUAUCUGUUCUGUUUUGCUGUACUCAGUGGAAAACAUCGAGAGAGCCUUUAUGAAGCAUUCUAUGAGUGAUAAAGACAUAGCUCCUACUGGUGGCUGAGAUGAGUGCUUAAUUGGAUGUUCCCUGUCCUCAUUACUUAUCCAUGUGAGCAUUUCUCACCCAUCACUGGUCUGAAAGCCAGCAGAGGCCAUGAGACCACUUUUUCUGAGCCCAUGACUCAGACCAGGCACUAAUCUGGCUAUGCAAAGUCCUCCACACAUUUUGCCCAGGUACAGUGCUUGUUCCAGCAAGACAAACCUCCUGCAUCAGGAGCUCCUACUCCCUUAUUUUAUCCUGAACAGAAUCUGGGAUUCUUACCUGAGACCAAACCUCAGUGCUCCCUGCAUCACCGUGGUGGGACGUGAGGCUGAUGCUCGGAACACACCACUUUUCUCUCUGAUCCUGUCGUUUAGAUUCAAACAGGAGUUAUUUAAUCUGUUCUUCUCCAUGACCAUGCAAUGCUGCUGGUUCGAAAAGCAGAUUUUUCUACAGCCUUGUAACAAGGAGAUAAGAGACUGGCAGCGGAUAAAACUACUUAAUAGCAAUUGUCUGCUGCCACGACUGCACAGAGCACGAAGGGCAGCAGCUCCACUGAAACAAGAGAUGAGCACAGGGUGCAGGCAGGAGCCAGCCCUGCAGCUGCUCUCUGGGAUGGUGGUACUGCAGGGAGAGCCGUGCAGGAGGCUCCAAGCAGAGCAGCCACGCUGACUGCUGAGAAUCAGUUCAUCCUCUUCCCCAGCACGUCUUGCUCUCUGCAGGUUACACCAGUAACAGACUGCCAGGGCCACAGCCUCAGGCAUAAGUUACCAAUGACAGCAGCACCCCCAAGAAGGGGGACCUGGAGCUGCAGCCUCCCACUCUUUGGCACAGAAAUUGGAGAGGAUUUUUGCUGGGCAAACGAUCCCUGCUGUAUGAAAAUGCAACAUUUAUUUCAAAAGCAUGAAAUAAAGAGUUUUACUUAAAAUCAAGCCAUAAAUCUGUGGGCAUGCUGCAAGAGAAUGAAAGCUCUUAUCAAUAUUUAUACUUACCUCCUCAAAGAACACAGGAGCUCAUUUACUAAAUAUCUUUGAGAAAUCAAGCCUUCAGCCAGACACAGGCCAGAGGAGGCAUUUUUGCCAGGCAGGAUGCUUCAGGAAUCAUCUUAACAAGGAAAAGCUCCACAGGAGAGCACCGUUCUCAAAGCUGCCCACUACUGCUUCACACAUGAUGCACCAAGUGCAGGACACCAGGCCUGGGAGAGGAUGCACCAGCAGGGGAUCUGUCUGCAGAUCCACUCCAGCUCCUGUUGGCUUCAGUGAGGCUUGGAGCCACCCCAUGGAAAUGUCAGAUAUCAUUAAUACAUCAAACACAACAUCAAUAUACACUGGCCCUUGGAUACAGCCAAACACAGCUAAUGGAAGCCACUCCAUAAGGCUCUAUGGUGCAUAAUCAGCAGCCAUCCCCAUGGCCUGCCCACAACCCCACAGGGCUGGCAGUUGGGUCACGUACUGCAUCAACAGGUAGAGACCUGGCUCUCCAUCUCUUCUAGAUCAUGAGACCGAAGGCCUUCCAGGUGGGAGCUGCAGUUUUCAUCAUCAAGUCUGUUUCCAGCACAGCAGCACAUGGCAUCUCCUGUGUCCUGCUGCAAUAAUUGAAAGUUAAAUUGAAAAUAAUUGCAAACGUAAAUCCUCCCUCUCCCAAUCUGCAGGAAAUUGAUACAGGCGAAAGGCAGGUGAUGAUUCAUUCACUUGCUAUCUCAGAGCCCAACGCUCCUUCCCCCAGAGCAGCACAGAACACACUUUGCCACCCACCUGAACACUGAUAAAAGUUGAAUACAACUACCUGUGAUUGAUGCCUCUCCUCACAUGUACACUCCAACCACAACCUGGAUAAUGUGUAGCGUUAUUAAAGCAUCAAUUAUCUUCAGCACAAGUGGAGCUACAUUAGCAGGGCUGCAUUCUGUUCAUUUUGAUAAGGCUUUCUCUGUUCGUUUAUCAACAAAAUGGGGACACCAGCAGGGCAGGGAUCCUGCAGGGUUUAACUCUGCUAGGAUGGAGCUGACACUCACAUCCUCCGUAAGUGCACUGUCAACAACAGCACCCUGAUUGAGAGGGUUUAUUUCUCAGGAAUUUGGCACAGCAGCCUGUGGAGAGCCCGUGUUCAUCCCUGACAGAUGUUCCAGCUAUACGGAUGGGCUGAGUUCACUGGGUCGCAGUGUGAUGCCUGACCAAUAGCUCCAGAUCCCCAGGCAGAAGGGCCAGAGACACCAGGCUGAGCAGCUGGUGUUCCCACACAGCUCAGGUUCUGCUCCUCUCUUGUGCAUGCAGGACGGUGGCUUAGAAACCACAGGGAAGCAAGGCAGCUACCUCUGAAGCCGUGCACAAACCGCAUCACCGUUCACCAGCUCUGAAGAGAAGCUUCCCUCUGUUGUUUCUCCCUUCUGGCUCUAAGAGUUGUGGUUCUCUCCAAGCCCAGGGAUAAGGCUACAAAACUACAGAAAAGCAGUUCCUUUUAGUUACAGACCUAAAAGUUCCUUCAUAAACUACACCCAGAUAGACACGGCUUAUUAAUAGCAGUAAAUCCACAAGUCCAGUAGACUUCUGUUAAUGGUUAUUGAUUGUAGUAGUGCUGGAGAAGGCUGGUGUCAGUCAAACUGAUGUCCAGUAGUCCUCCUUUGUCUGAGCAGGGCUGUCAAUUACACAAGAGCUCAUCUGUUUUUCAAAACCAGGCAGCAGAAAGGUGGUCACAGCUGCACUGCAGGGCUAGGAGACCCCCUUAAUGCUGAUAGCAGCUGUCAUCAAGGCCAAGCACUCCUUACUGGUUGGCUUGACCUGUGGGUCCAGGCCUCUUGAAGCUAAACCAAGGCUUAUCACAGCUUACUGUCCAGUCACUGUACACUGAGAGGAGCAGCAGCCACUAACCCUCCAGCUCACCCAGAGAUCCACAGAGCAGAGGACUCCCAUUUGGCUAAGAAGACAGGCAGGGAUUCCUGUUGGACACUUCCAAAUACCAGAGAUGUCCAAAUGUGUGGUGUGAAAUGCUAUCUUACAGGCAGAUCUGAUUUCUUAGGAGGCCAUUGCCAGACUACAGCCGAGCCUUCUUAUGUCCCCAUGCUGGAAGAGGACAGCCAUGAGCACUGACUGCCCCGAGCAGACAGCCCUGCAUUCAGAGCAAGCCUGCACUCGAGCUGCAUUUGCACUUCUCCAUCUGUUUACAGUCACUUCCUUCUAUCCCCCAGUGAAUAUCUUAAAAAAUCUAAGCUGCUUAACGCAAACACCAUG
This is a long non-coding RNA of Gallus gallus (chicken), 4604 nucleotides long. The record is from Ensembl. Lineage: Eukaryota; Metazoa; Chordata; Aves; Galliformes; Phasianidae.